GAUGAAGAACGUAGCAAAAUGCGAUAAGUAAUGCGAAUUGCAGAAUUCAGUGAGUCAUCGAAUCUUUGAACGCACAUUGCGCCCUGUGGUAUUCCGCAGGGCAUGCCUGUUCGAGCGUCAUUUCAACCCUCAAGCUCUGCUUGGUGUUGGGCCCUGCCCGCUGCGGCCGGCCCUAAAGACAGUGGCGGUGCCGCCUGGCCCUGAGCGUAGUACAUCUCUCGCUCCAGUGCCCGGUGGUAGCCUGCCAGAACCCCAACUCUCGUGGUUGACCUCGGAUCAGGUAGGGAUACCCGCUGAACUUAAGCAUAUCAUAAGCGGAGGA
RNAcentral lists this unclassified non-coding RNA (322 nucleotides) under soil metagenome. RNAcentral's name for it is "partial contains 5.8S ribosomal RNA, internal transcribed spacer 2, and large subunit ribosomal RNA". The stretch from base 1 to 120 matches the Rfam family "5.8S ribosomal RNA", at positions 35 to 154 of the family's 154-position model. The record is from RNAcentral.